This 72-nucleotide non-coding RNA is filed under the name Geobacter argillaceus. Lineage: Bacteria; Pseudomonadati; Thermodesulfobacteriota; Desulfuromonadia; Geobacterales; Geobacteraceae. The record is from RNAcentral.
AACCGCCGUAUACGGAACCGUUCGUACGGUGGUGUGGGAGGUCGGCGGGGGAGACCCCGCCUCCUACCCGAU